CCUCGCAACGCCCGGGCUGUCCUCCGCGAACGCCUGAGCAAAACACCCCACCGGGGCUUCCAACCGGUGAAAUCCGGUACUCGCGCCGCCUUCCGCGAUGUGCGGAGCGGGGAGCGGAGCCGAAACGAGUUCGAGGGGGUGGAUCCAGGUCACCUCUGUGGUCCCUUCCAGCCUGGAUUACUGUGUGCUUCUGUAAUGUGUGCUCCCCUGGAACUCUUCCUAACAGCUGAGUGAACAGCCAGGUGAUGCUUGGCAGCAGACUUGGACACUAACAGAAGUUCCUCAGAGAUCCUGCUGUUGAUAAGCACAUAAGCUCUUUGUUCACCAUUGAAUGGGACCUAAUUUUCAUUUUUAAUUUAUGUGUCUCAUGUGUAGAGUGUGAAGCCUCCAGACUACAUCUAACAUGACUUUUUUAUUGUACCAGCAUCACAUUUACCUCUUUAUUCCAUAAUCACGCCAUCUCAUACUCCAGUGCUGAGAACCACAUUCAGUGCACUAAAAACCACUUUAUUUUCCUUAAAUUAUUAUUUUUUAUUUUUAUUAGAACUCCUUGGUUUAGAGAAUCAGACAAUAAGAGAAGGUGGCCAGUGAAAAACCUGUCUACAAAUUCUAAAUUCCCUUUCCCAGUGUUGCCAAAGACCAAGGUUUCUGAUUUGGCUCGUGACCAGCAAGCACAAGCUCACAGACUGCAAAUCAGGAUCAGCAAAGGGGAGGAUGGGGUUUGCUCUCAACACAAGACAAAUCUAAUGGGAUCUAGGAAGAGGCAGAAAGCUAAAUUCCAUGCUUAAUUAUAGUUGUGGAUAAAUUUAAUUCAAAAUUAUACUGUUGAUUAUAAUUGGUACAGCUCUCUACAGCUUUCCAAAGGAGAAAAUUCCAUCCUCAGUGAACUUUGAAUUCUACUGUUGAAUUAGAAGUUUGGGAAAGUUAAAACAGCAAAACACCCCACACCCCAAAAAGAGACAGAUGGCUGUGACAGAUAUGCCAUAAUCACACACAGCACCUCCCACUGUGCCCUACAUAUCGUACAACCAACCUGCCCAGCCACUCCAGAUGCUUCCCGUUAUCUGCUGUGGAAAAGCAGCUGCAGCGGUGAUAGCCCAGGUCCUGUGAGUCAGUCAGUAUUCAUGGCACAAACCCCCAUCCCUGGCUAAAGCUGCAAGGCAAAAACAAGAUUGCUUAAAAAAGGGGUGGCCCAAUUUCAGUUGUUCUGCACGCAGGUAAUGAUUGCACUGCAAGUAAUCCUAAAGCUGAGCAUUGCUCCGCUGAGUGCAGACAAUCACACCAGUAUCAGCCACGGGUAAAUUACAAUUAAAGGCCUUUGACCACUGAGAACAUGGAGGCGGAAGGGAGCAGCUUAACGCCAAAGCAAA
Molecule: long non-coding RNA, 1370 nt
Organism: Haemorhous mexicanus (house finch)
Lineage: Eukaryota; Metazoa; Chordata; Aves; Passeriformes; Fringillidae
Exons: 2
Source: RefSeq, a predicted model, not a curated record